GGUUGGGCAGCUCCUGCUGCAGUCCUCUUUGAACCUGCGCCUUAGGCUCGGAGGCUCCAGCAAGUUUACUUUGAUCUCGUGGUUCCUUGUCCUCUGGGUCUUUGGAGUCUUGAUUUAAUUGAUGGGAAAGGGAGAAGGGAGCAGAGUUGUGCUUGAGAGAUCUCCCCGUCCUCCAAGCGGCACUGACCCCCUGCCACAUUGGCAGGGAAACUCGGUCUGUGUACUGCUCAGCCAGAAGGAAAAGUAAACAUGCGAGUGACACACAUCCCGGCAGCCCGCGCCACGGAAACGUUGAGUGCUACCGGCUGUCUUACUAAGGGCUGGAGUAGAGUUUCACCAAAUUACCCAGGCUGACAUUAAACUUGAGACUCUCCUGCCUCAGCCUCCUGAGCAACUGGGAGUACAGAGCCCAAUCUUCAAAUGCCUGGAGGCCACCUCUGCUUGGACGCUCCAUAUCUAAAACAGAGUGCUUCAAAUCCCUCACACCUUAUUUCUUUACCUGAUCUCCCAAUUUCUGUUCAUUAUUUUAUUACUUUUCUAAACUCUGGAGCUUGAAACCUUUGACUCAACUCUGUCACUCAAUCCUGUCAGUAAACAGUGCCUCUGAAAUGUU
Non-coding RNA from Heterocephalus glaber (naked mole-rat), 613 nucleotides. The record is from RefSeq and is a predicted model, not a curated record. Lineage: Eukaryota; Metazoa; Chordata; Mammalia; Rodentia; Bathyergidae.